This 497-nucleotide ribosomal RNA is filed under the name uncultured bacterium. Its description in RNAcentral is "partial 16S ribosomal RNA". It matches the Rfam family "Bacterial small subunit ribosomal RNA", at positions 28 to 507 of the family's 1533-position model. The record is from RNAcentral.
GAUGAACGCUGGCGGCGUGCCUAAUACAUGCCAGUCGAGCGAACAGACGAGGAGCUUGCUCCUCUGACGUUAGCGGCGGACGGGUGAGUAACACGUGGAUAACCUACCUAUAAGACUGGGAUAACUUCGGGAAACCGGAGCUAAUACCGGAUAAUAUAUUGAACCGCAUGGUUCAAUAGUGAAAGACGGUUUUGCUGUCACUUAUAGAUGGAUCCGCGCCGCAUUAGCUAGUUGGUAAGGUAACGGCUUACCAAGGCAACGAUGCGUAGCCGACCUGAGAGGGUGAUCGCCCACACUGGAACUGAGACACGGUCCAGACUCCUACGGGAGGCAGCAGUAGGGAAUCUUCCGCAAUGGGCGAAAGCCUGACGGAGCAACGCCGCGUGAGUGAUGAAGGUCUUCGGAUCGUAAAACUCUGUUAUUAGGGAAGAACAAAUGUGUAAGUAACUAUGCACGUCUUGACGGUACCUAAUCAGAAAGCCACGGCUAACUACGUG